UACGGGGGGGGCAAGCGUUGUUCGGAAUUACUGGGCGUAAAGGGCUCGUAGGCGGCCAACUAAGUCGGACGUGAAAUCCCCAGGCUCAACCUGGGGACUGCGUCCGAUACUGGAUGGCUUGAAUUCGGGAGAGGGAUGCAGAAUUCCAGGUGUAGCGGUGAAAUGCGUAGAUAUCUGGAGGAAUACCGGUGGCGAAGGCGGCAUCCUGGACCGACAUUGACGCUGAUGAGCGAAAGCUAGGGGAGCAAACGGG
RNAcentral lists this ribosomal RNA (253 nucleotides) under uncultured bacterium. RNAcentral describes it as "partial 16S ribosomal RNA". It matches the Rfam family "Bacterial small subunit ribosomal RNA", at positions 524 to 776 of the family's 1533-position model. The record is from RNAcentral.